GACGAACCGUGCGAACGUUGUUCGGAAUCACUGGGCUUAAAGGGCGCGUAGGCGGGCUGUCCAGUCUGGGGUGAAAUCCCACGGCUCAACCGUGGAACUGCCUCAGAUACUGACGGCCUCGAGGGAGAUAGGGGCAUGCGGAACUGUAGGUGGAGCGGUGAAAUGCGUUGAUAUCUACAGGAACUCCGGUGGCGAAGGCGGCGUGCUGGAUCUCUUCUGACGCUGAGGCGCGAAAGCCAGGGGAGCAAACGGG
RNAcentral lists this ribosomal RNA (253 nucleotides) under uncultured microorganism. Its description in RNAcentral is "partial small subunit ribosomal RNA". It matches the Rfam family "Bacterial small subunit ribosomal RNA", at positions 524 to 776 of the family's 1533-position model. The record is from RNAcentral.